Molecule: transfer RNA, 76 nt
Filed under: Perkinsus olseni
Lineage: Eukaryota; Perkinsozoa; Perkinsida; Perkinsidae
Description: tRNA-Cys
Rfam family: tRNA
About the family: Transfer RNA (tRNA) molecules are approximately 80 nucleotides in length.
Source: RNAcentral
GGGUGUGUAGCUCAGUGGUAGAGCGGCUGACUGCAGAUCAGCAGGUCCUCGGUUCAAAUCCGGCCCCUCGUAGUCG